Oncorhynchus gorbuscha (pink salmon) is the source of this 432-nucleotide long non-coding RNA. RefSeq lists it as uncharacterized. The transcript has 3 exons. The record is from RefSeq and is a predicted model, not a curated record. Lineage: Eukaryota; Metazoa; Chordata; Actinopteri; Salmoniformes; Salmonidae.
AGGGCAUGGCACCUGCAGACCGGCCCACAGAGCUGCGUCAGCACUGUGAGGAAGAGGCCAAGGAGAUAGUGCAGCAGACCAACUCCCUCCGCGACGACCAGCAGUGAGUUUCUAACUCCAGCCUCACUCACCUCAUCUCAGGCCUCACCGCCUUGUUGCUUCAGAUCAAGUGUCUGGCUGAGGGAGGAGACCUGAACUCCUUUGAAUUUAAAUCACUGACGGACUCUCUGAAUGACAUAAAGAGCUCAAUAGACCCCUCCAACCUCAGUUGCUUCCAGAACAACGUAGAGAUCCACGUAGCACACAUCCAGAGUGGCCUGAGUCAGCUGGGAAACCUGCAUGCCUUUGCAGCCAACAACACCAACAUGGUCUGAAGCCGGUAUCAUUACCACACACAGAGAGCAGCCUGGUCAGCACCAACUAAGUGGAACA